Molecule: ribosomal RNA, 488 nt
Filed under: uncultured bacterium
Lineage: Bacteria
Description: bacterial SSU rRNA
Rfam family: Bacterial small subunit ribosomal RNA
Source: RNAcentral
GAUGAACGCUAGCGGGAGGCUUAACACAUGCAAGUCGAGGGGCAGCAUAGGGUAGCAAUACUCUGAUGGCGACCGGCAAACGGGUGAGUAACGCGUAUGCAACCUACCCUGUACAGGGGGAUAACCCGGAGAAAUUCGGACUAAUAUCCCGUAAUAAUAUCCGGAGGCAUCUUUGGAUAUUUAAAGUUCCGACGGUACGGGAUGGGCAUGCGUAACAUUAGCUGGUUGGUAAGGUAACGGCUUACCAAGGCUAUGAUGUUUAGGGGUCCUGAGAGGGUGGUCCCCCACACUGGUACUGAGACACGGACCAGACUCCUACGGGAGGCAGCAGUGAGGAAUAUUGGUCAAUGGGCGCAAGCCUGAACCAGCCAUCCCGCGUGCAGGAAGACGGCCCUAUGGGUUAGUAAACUGCUUUUCUAGGGAGAGAAACUUACGCACGUGUUGCGUGACUGACGGUACCCUGGGAAUAAGCAUCGGCUAACUCCGUG